UAUUCUUGGGAGUACACUGCAGUGAUAUCUAAGGUACAUUGCUGUGUUAGUAGGGUUGCAGUAUUAUUGAACUAAAGUCUAUAAGUACUAAACAUUUUUGAAUUAAAGUCUACAUUGCUUUCAACCCCCUUUUUUUAGUUAUUCUCGGUUGAGGUUUGCCCCCAGAGCUGGAACGCACUUGCCAGGUUGGCAAAGACAUGCUGACCGUCAACUUUGAGGAAGACGGCCAAGGAUUCAAUCUGUUGAUCACAUAACGCAACCCGAAUAAGAAAAUCAAUAUUUUUAAAAUUCAUUUUUUGAAUUUGUACGACGUUUUGACGAAACGAUUUCGGACUCAAUUGUGUGUGUUUUCCAGACACGAUUCUCGACUGUGAUGGAAGCUCCGUACCGGAAUGGAUUCACAUCGUGCAGGUGAACGUUGGCUUGCAGACUUACGGUAUCACCCUAUCCUUCCGCUAUGACUAUGGCGCCCGGCGACUACGACUGCGAGAUUACUACACGACAAUCGAUUUCUAUAACGCUGGUCUCAAUCGAAUAUUUUUUAUGUUAUAAAUUCUCUUAAAUUUUACUGUCAAUUUUUUGUAUUUCCUGUUGUCAUGUAAUACAAAUGUUUUAUUUUAA
This is a long non-coding RNA of Daphnia pulex (common water flea), 621 nucleotides long. RefSeq lists it as uncharacterized. The record is from RefSeq and is a predicted model, not a curated record. The transcript is spliced from 2 exons. NCBI's taxonomy places the organism in Eukaryota, Metazoa, Arthropoda, Branchiopoda, Diplostraca, Daphniidae.